AGUAACACGUGGAUAACCUACCUAUAAGGCUGGGAUAACUUCGGGAAACCGUAGCUAAUACCGGAUAAUAUUUUGAACCGCAUGGUUCAAAAGUGAAAGACGGUCUUGCUGUCACUUAUAGAUGGAUCCGCGCUGCAUUAGCUAGUUGGUAAGGUAACGGCUUACCAAGGCAACGAUGCAUAGCCGACCUGAGAGGGUGAUCGGCCACACUGGAACUGAGACACGGUCCAG
Molecule: ribosomal RNA, 231 nt
Filed under: uncultured Staphylococcus sp.
Lineage: Bacteria; Bacillati; Bacillota; Bacilli; Caryophanales; Staphylococcaceae
Description: partial 16S ribosomal RNA
Rfam family: Bacterial small subunit ribosomal RNA
Source: RNAcentral